CAUAAUAAAGGGAGGUUCCAUCUUCCCCUUGCUCCCACAGCACCCAUGGCGCCCUGCUCGAAGCCUCAAGUACUCUGCCCAGAAGGUCAAAUGCUCCUUCUGGCCAGUUAGCAGUUGGUGCCCCUUGCUGAAAAAGAGUACUGACUUUAGUGACCACUUACUUAAACCUCGUGCUCUAAUUCAUCGCCAUGCCAGGAGGUGGCUACAAGGUGGACAAGGACCCAAGGCAGAAGCAAGUCAACAUGCCCAAGGUCUCCAGGACUCAACAGGACAGAGCUAGGGUCUGAAUUCAGGAAUGUUCUUUGGAAGCCCAGAACUCAGUCAUGGAGCUGCGAGGGAGGCUGAGAAAUGAGGUCCAACCAUAAACAGAAGCAGAAAAACGUGGAUAAAUCUCCCACAGAUAAGGAAGAACAUGCAGUAUUUGUCUUUCUGGAUCCAGCUUAGUUCACUCAACAUGGUGUCCUCUGGUUGAGCUCAUUUUGCUCCAAAUGGUAGAAUUCCAUUUUUCAGCUUCAAAGCUUUUGCAGGAAUGAACACCUGUCUUUCCGGGCAUUAUAAGAAAUUGUCAGCUUACAAAGGCACUGUCCAAAAGGCCUGGUUGCACUGGAAGUCUGUUGCAGUGUGUGCUGUUUAAAGCACUCGAGCCAUGGAAGUAGAUCUCGGAAAUCCUUGGGGUGACAUCAGCUCCAAAAAUUGUACCUGGGGUGUUUACAUAAACAGAAGGACCGUGUAGGACCCACUGAACAACUCUGAAUUAAGUUCAAAUGCAAGUAAAAUAUCCAAGAAAAAAUCCAGGUUGUUCCCAAGCCAAGCAAUCAUAUGGAAGCAUUGAACUACACUUGAUUGAGUUUUUAGGGGUUUCCAACUCCCUUCUGCCCCAGGCUCCUAAAGAACUCAUGUAAUGGUUUAAGUCACAAUCUGUCACAUAAGGAAUUGUCAUUUCUGAUGGAGCAAUAAUCUGAGCAUAGUUUUUCACUUUGUAAAGGAGAUGGUAAUUGUGAUGGGCUCUGUUUUUCUGAUGGGGCGAUCCUCUGGUGUGGAGUGACAAUUUGAAUAAAGUAAAGUUUUGAAGAGUUGCACAUGUUCCUUGAAGAGGAAAUUUGAUGAAAAGUAGCAGCUUAGUAUUUGCUAUGAGGUCACUCAACUUCAAGCAGCUUUCAACAUCUUUUGAAGAAAUCACCCUUUAAAGUUUAACUGAUCAAAGUGAUAUAAUGUAGAGGAAUUGGAAUCCCUCAUUGGCCUAUCCAUUACAGAGUGGCAAGAUACAAAGCUUUGAGAGCUGCAGGUCAGUGUAGAAUCCCAAAGUGAAGAAGUUGUCCACCCGGUGCUUACCCAGACAAAAGAAAAAGACACACAACAAGGCUCCAAAUGGAAUGGAAGAACCUAUGUUAAGUCAUAGCAAAUCAAAUUCCAAGAAAACUGCUUUCCCUCCAACACCAGAGACACCAGAAAUGGUUGCUUCUCUUUGUUCGCCAUCUCUGAUUCCACAGAGAAACAUUACUCCUCCAAACUUGUUACUGACUUUGAGAACAAUCGUUAGGGUCUGCUUUUUUUUUUUUUUCAGGAGGAAAAAAACACAACUAUUGAUUUCAACCCACCAGAAGAAAGAGAAUCUGGUUAUAAUUCUGAGAGAUUUGAGAAAAUUUAAGGUCUCAAGGUGGAAGUCUAGUGAAAAGAAAUGUCACUAGGAGAACCAGUAAGUCUCAUUUAAAAAAACUACGGGGCACCUGGAGGCAGAAGAGAAAAGAGGAGAGGAGACGCUGAGGGUUUUACCACUGUCUGUCUCACUCAUCAACAUAGCACUCAGUCUAGUUCUCGGUAAAUGUGAAGAAAAAUAAGGUUGGAUGGAUUAUGACCAUUUUGCUGCAUAGUGUUUGCAUAAGGGGGUGCCAGUGUGAAAUAUAAUGUAUCAGACCCUAGGCAAAGAACAGGGAAAAAAAGAAUAAUGGAGUUUAAAGAUAAGUUGGGGCCAGGAUUGUGGUGUAGCAGGAAAAGCCACUGUAUGUGACACCAGCAUUCCAUAUGGAUGCUGGUUCCUGUUCCAGGUAUUCCACUUCCAAACCAGCUCACUAUUAAUGGCCUGAGAAAAGCUGCAGAAGAUGGCCCAAAUGCAUGGGCCUCUGCCACCCCUGUGGGAAACACGGAUGAAACCCCUGGCUCCUGGCUUCAGUCUGGCCCAGCUCUGGCUGUCGUGACCACUUGGGAAGUGGCCCAGAAAUAGAACAUCUCUCUCUGUCUCUCCCUUCUCUGUAAC
This is a non-coding RNA of Oryctolagus cuniculus (rabbit), 2254 nucleotides long. The record is from RefSeq and is a predicted model, not a curated record. NCBI's taxonomy places the organism in Eukaryota, Metazoa, Chordata, Mammalia, Lagomorpha, Leporidae.